Molecule: ribosomal RNA, 505 nt
Filed under: uncultured bacterium
Lineage: Bacteria
Description: partial 16S ribosomal RNA
Rfam family: Bacterial small subunit ribosomal RNA
Source: RNAcentral
GACGAACGCUGGCGGCGUGCCUAAUACAUGCAAGUAGAACGCACAGUUUAUACCGUAGCUUGCUACACCAUAGACUGUGAGUUGCGAACGGGUGAGUAACGCGUAGGUAACCUGCCUGGUAGCGGGGGAUAACUAUUGGAAACGAUAGCUAAUACCGCAUAAUAUUAAUUAUUGCAUGAUAAUUAAUUGAAAGGUGCAAUUGCACCACUACCAGAUGGACCUGCGUUGUAUUAGCUAGUAGGUGAGGUAACGGCUCACCUAGGCGACGAUACAUAGCCGAACCGGGAGGGGGAACCGGCCAACCUGGAACGGGGAACGGCCCCGGACCCUUCCGGGAGGAGGCGGAAGGGAAUCUUGGGCAAUGGCGGAAAGUCUACCGGAGAAAGGCGGGGGGGGGAAGGAGGGUUUUGGGUCGUUAAGGCUCGUUUGUAAGGGAGAAAGGGGGGGGGGGGGGGAAGUUCACACUGUGACGGUAUCUUACCAGAAAGGGACGGCUAACUACGUG